This 731-nucleotide ribosomal RNA is filed under the name uncultured bacterium. RNAcentral describes it as "bacterial SSU rRNA". It matches the Rfam family "Bacterial small subunit ribosomal RNA", at positions 1 to 786 of the family's 1533-position model. The record is from RNAcentral.
UAGGGUUUGAUCAUGGCUCAGAACGAACGCUGGCGGCAGGCUUAACACAUGCAAGUCGAGCGCACCUUCGGGUGAGCGGCGGACGGGUUAGUAACGCGUGGGAACAUACCCUUUGGUACGGAAUAGCCUCUGGAAACGGAGAGUAAUACCGUAUGAGCCCUUCGGGGGAAAGAUUUAUCGCCAAAGGAUUGGCCCGCGUUAGAUUAGGUAGUUGGUGGGGUAAUGGCCUACCAAGCCUACGAUCUAUAGCUGGUUUUAGAGGAUGAUCAGCAACACUGGGACUGAGACACGGCCCAGACUCCUACGGGAGGCAGCAGUGGGGAAUCUUGGACAAUGGGGGCAACCCUGAUCCAGCCAUGCCGCGUGAGUGAUGAAGGCCUUAGGGUCGUAAAGCUCUUUCGCCUGUGAAGAUAAUGACGGUAGCAGGUAAAGAAACCCCGGCUAACUCCGUGCCAGCAGCCGCGGUAAUACGGAGGGGGUUAGCGUUGUUCGGAAUUACUGGGCGUAAAGCGCACGUAGGCGGACUGGAAAGUUGGGGGUGAAAUCCCAGGGCUCAACCCUGGAACUGCCUCCAAAACUAUCAGUCUAGAGUUCGAGAGAGGUGAGUGGAAUUCCGAGUGUAGAGGUGAAAUUCGUAGAUAUUCGGAGGAACACCAGUGGCGAAGGCGGCUCACUGGCUCGAUACUGACGCUGAGGUGCGAAAGUGUGGGGAGCAAACAGGAUUAGAUACC